This is a long non-coding RNA of Carassius auratus (goldfish), 719 nucleotides long. RefSeq lists it as uncharacterized. The record is from RefSeq and is a predicted model, not a curated record. Lineage: Eukaryota; Metazoa; Chordata; Actinopteri; Cypriniformes; Cyprinidae. The transcript is spliced from 5 exons.
AACCGACCCGAUCCGAACCUUGGAUGAAUAUGUUUGUGCAGAAUUUGAGACAUCCAGAAUUACCAUAGGCCCAUUAGAAUCAACAAUCUUUGCCAAACUUGAUUCGGACUGCAAAAUUUACGAAGAUGUUUUCAUACUGAAGAAGAGACCUUGGACAAAUACUGAAACCCUCUUGGUGCCCACUACACAGGCAGGGGUGUCCAGACCUGCUCUAGGAAAGCCAGUGUUCUGUGGGGUUCAGCUCUAACACAUCUGCCUGGAACUUCAGACUAAUGAAAUUGAAGUAUCCAAAUGAAGACCCUAGCAGUAUGGAGUAUAUGGAUACAGACGUUGCCAGCAGUCAGGAGGUGAUCCAGAAGACUCAUGGGAAUCUAUUUGAAGCUGCAUCAUUGAAGACAGUCCAGCAGAAGUUGGAGUUUUAAAGGAUAAAGUUCUUCAGGACCUAUAGCAGUUUACAGUCUGUAAAACCAUGUUACUGGGACUGAUUUAUGGACUGAACUUGAGCAACCCUCCUGAACUCAGGUACACAUUUGGAAUACUGAAGAAGUUAUUUCUGGAGCCACUUCCUGUUCCUGGAAUAAGGUUUGAUUGGUUGCCCAUGAAUGCCAAUUAGAAUUGUAUUUGCUAUUUUGUGUAAUUUUGUAAUGUGGUUUAAACUGUAUUUUACUGUGUGUAAUUAUUUAUUGCUUGUUUAACAAAUACACUUUGAUCAUUUGUGA